Molecule: ribosomal RNA, 524 nt
Filed under: uncultured bacterium
Lineage: Bacteria
Description: bacterial SSU rRNA
Rfam family: Bacterial small subunit ribosomal RNA
Source: RNAcentral
UGGGGAAUAUUGGACAAUGGACCAAGAGUCUGAUCCAGCAAUUCUGUGUGCACGAUGAAGUUUUUCGGAAUGUAAAGUGCUUUCAGUUGGGAAGAAAGAAAUGACGGUACCAACAGAAGAAGUGACGGCUAAAUACGUGCCAGCAGCCGCGGUAAUACGUAUGUCACGAGCGUUAUCCGGAUUCAUUGGGCGUAAAGCGCGUCUAGGUGGUUAUGUAAGUCUGAUGUGAAAAUGCAGGGCUCAACUCUGUAUUGCGUUGGAAACUGUAUAACUAGAGUACUGGAGAGGUAAGCGGAACUACAAGUGUAGAGGUGAAAUUCGUAGAUAUUUGUAGGAAUGCCGAUGGGGAAGCCAGCUUACUGGACAGAUACUGACGCUGAAGCGCGAAAGCGUGGGUAGCAAACAGGAUUAGAUACCCUGGUAGUCCACGCCGUAAACGAUGAUUACUAGGUGUUGGGGGUCGAACCUCAGCGCCCAAGCAAACGCGAUAAGUAAUCCGCCUGGGGAGUACGUACGCAAGUAUG